UGGGGAAUUUUGGACAAUGGGCGAAAGCCUGAUCCAGCCAUGCCGCGUGAGUGAAGAAGGCCUUCGGGUUGUAAAGCUCUUUUAGUCGGAAAGAAAGAGUUGCAAUGAAUAAUUGUGAUUUAUGACGGUACCGACAGAAAAAGCACCGGCUAACUACGUGCCAGCAGCCGCGGUAAAACGUAGGAGGCGAGCGUUAUCCGGAUUUACUGGGCGUAAAGCGCGUGCAGGCGGAUUGGAGAGUUGGAUGUGAAAGCUCCCGGCUUAACUGGGAGAGGUCGUUCAAUACUUCCAGUCUUGAGUGCAGUAGAGGGAAGUGGAAUUCCGGGUGUAGUGGUGAAAUGCGUAGAUAUCCGGAGGAACACCAGUGUCGAAAGCGGCUUCCUGGACUGUAACUGACGCUCAGACGCGAAAGCUAGGGUAGCAAACG
Molecule: ribosomal RNA, 427 nt
Filed under: uncultured bacterium
Lineage: Bacteria
Description: bacterial SSU rRNA
Rfam family: Bacterial small subunit ribosomal RNA
Source: RNAcentral